This 497-nucleotide ribosomal RNA is filed under the name uncultured bacterium. RNAcentral describes it as "partial 16S ribosomal RNA". It matches the Rfam family "Bacterial small subunit ribosomal RNA", at positions 28 to 507 of the family's 1533-position model. The record is from RNAcentral.
GAUGAACGCUGGCGGCGUGCCUAAUACAUGCAAGUCGAGCGAACGGACGAGAAGCUUGCUUCUCUGAUGUUAGCGGCGGACGGGUGAGUAACACGUGGAUAACCUACCUAUAAGACUGGGAUAACUUCGGGAAACCGGAGCUAAUACCGGAUGAUAUUUUGAACCGCAUGGUUCAAAAGUGAAAGACGGUCUUGCUGUCACUUAUAGAUGGAUCCGCGCUGCAUUAGCUAGUUGGUAAGGUAACGGCUUACCAAGGCAACGAUGCAUAGCCGACCUGAGAGGGUGAUCGGCCACACUGGAAAUGAGACACGGUCCAGACUCCUACGGGAGGCAGCAGUAGGGAAUCUUCCGCAAUGGGCGGAAGCCUGAAGGAGCAACGCCGCGUGAGUGAUGAAGGUCUUCGGAUCGUAAAACUCUGUUAUUAGGGAAGAACAUAUGUGUAAGUAACUGUGCACAUCUUGACGUUACCUAAUCAGAAAGCCACGGCUAACUACGUG